AGAGUUUGAUCCUGGCUCAGGAUGAACGCUGGCGGCGUGCUUAACACAUGCAAGUCGAACGAAGAUAUUAAGAAUGAGAGCUUCGGCAGGAAUUUUUCUUAUCUUAGUGGCGGACGGGUGAGUAACGUGUGGGCAACCUGCCCUGCACUGGGGAAUAAUCAUUGGAAACGAUGACUAAUACCGCAUACGGUUCCUGGGAGGCAUCUUCUGGGAAAGAAAGGAUUUAUUUGGUGCAGGAUGGGCCCGCAUCUGAUUAGCUAGUUGGUGAGAUAACAGCCCACCAAGGCGACGAUCAGUAGCCGACCUGAGAGGGUGACCGGCCACAUUGGGACUGAGACACGGCCCAAACUCCUACGGGAGGCAGCAGUGGGGAAUAUUGCACAAUGGGCGAAAGCCUGAUGCAGCAACGCCGCGUGAAGGAAGAAGGGUUUCGGCUCGUAAACUUCUAUCAACAGGGACGAAAGAAAUGACGGUACCUGAAUAAGAAGCCCCGGCUAACUACGUGCCAGCAGCCGCGGUAAUACGUAGGGGGCAAGCGUUAUCCGGAAUUACUGGGUGUAAAGGGUGAGUAGGCGGCAUGGUAAGCCAGAUGUGAAAGCCUUGGGCUUAACCCGAGGAUUGCAUUUGGAACUAUCAAGCUAGAGUACAGGAGAGGAAAGCGGAAUUCCUAGUGUAGCGGUGAAAUGCGUAGAUAUUAGGAAGAACACCAGUGGCGAAGGCGGCUUUCUGGACGGAAACUGACGCUGAGGCACGAAAGCGUGGGGAGCGAACAGGAUUAGAUACCCUGGUAGUCCACGCCGUAAACGAUUGAGGGGCUGGGCGUCGGGGAGGAAUCCCCGGUGCCGCAGCGAUAGCAAUAUGCACUCCACCCUGGGGAGUACGACAGCAAGGUUGAAACUCAAAGGUAUUGACGGGGGCCCGCACAAGCGGUGGAGCAUGUGGUUUAAUUCGAAGCAACGCGAAGAACCUUACCAAGGCUUGACAUCCCGAUGACAGUUGUAGAGAUACGUUUUCCCUUCGGGGCAUUGGUAACAGGUGGUGCAUGGUUGUCGUCAGCUCGUGUCGUGAGAUGUUGGGUUAAGUCCCGCAACGAGCGCAACCCUUACCCUUAGUAGCCAUCAUUAAGUUGGGCACUCUAGGGGGACUGCCAUGGAUAACACGGAGGAAGGUGGGGAUGACGUCAAAUCAUCAUGCCCCUUAUGUCUUGGGCUACACACGUGCUACAAUGGCUGGCAACAAAGUGAAGCGAGACGGCGACGUUAAGCAAAUCACAAAAACCCAGUCCCAGUUCGGAUUGCAGUCUGCAACUCGACUGCAUGAAGCUGGAAUCGCUAGUAAUCGCGAAUCAGAAUGCCGCGGUGAAUACGUUCCCGGGCCUUGUACACACCGCCCGUCA
This 1396-nucleotide ribosomal RNA is filed under the name uncultured bacterium. Its description in RNAcentral is "bacterial SSU rRNA". It matches the Rfam family "Bacterial small subunit ribosomal RNA". The record is from RNAcentral.